This 1224-nucleotide ribosomal RNA is filed under the name Triticum aestivum (bread wheat). RNAcentral describes it as "partial small subunit ribosomal RNA". The record is from RNAcentral. Lineage: Eukaryota; Viridiplantae; Streptophyta; Magnoliopsida; Poales; Poaceae.
AUGGGGAGAAGGGAGGCGCUCGCGGUUCUCCUCGCGGUCGUCGUCCUCGCGGCGGCGGCCGGGGAGGCGGGCGCGGCCAAGGGGAAGGCCAAGGGGAAGUACCGGGCGCUGUUCAACUUCGGGGACUCGCUGGCCGACGCCGGCAACCUCAUCGCCAACGGCGUGCCGGACAUCCUCGCCACCGCCAGGCUGCCCUACGGCCAGACCUACUUCGGCAAACCCACCGGCCGCUGCUCCGACGGCCGCCUCGUCAUCGACCACCUGGCGCAGGAAUUCGGGCUGCCCCUGCUGCCGCCGUCCAAGGCCAAUCGCUCCGACUUGAGUCACGGUGCCAACUUCGCCAUCACCGGCGCCACCGCGCUCGACACGCCCUACUUCGAGGCCAGGGGCCUCGGCGCCGUCGUCUGGAACUCCGGCGCCCUCAUGACCCAAAUCCAGUGGUUCCGUGACCUCAAGCCUUUCUUCUGCAACGGCACCAAGGAAGAAUGCAAGGAGUUCUAUGCCAACUCGCUGUUCGUCGUCGGCGAGUUCGGUGGCAACGACUACAACGCGCCCCUGUUCGCCGGGAAGGGCCUCACAGAGGCGUACAAGUUCAUGCCGGAUGUCAUCCAGGGCAUCUCCGAUGGCGUCGAGGUAGCCAUUGCUUCUUCCUUGUUACUUACAUAUCUGUUUGCUCGCUGUCAACCACGAUUGCUCAUGUACGGUAUGGUGCAGGAAUUGAUCGCCGAGGGGGCAGUGGAUCUCAUCGUGCCAGGGGUGAUGCCAACUGGGUGCUUCCCCGUGUACCUGAACAUGCUCGACAUGCCAGCCCACGAGUAUGGCGCCCGGAGCGGGUGCAUCCGUCAGUACAACACCUUCUCAUGGGUGCACAACGCACACCUCAAGAGAGCACUCGAGAAGCUCCGGCCCAAGCACCCCAAUGUGCGGAUCAUAUACGGCGACUACUACACGCCGGUUGUCCAGUUCAUGCUCCAGCCUGAGAAGUUUGGAUUCUACAAGCAGUUACCUAGGGCAUGCUGUGGGGCUCCUGGGUCCGUUGCCAAAGCCGCUUACAACUUCAACGUGACAGCCAAAUGCGGGGAGCCUGGUGCCACUGCCUGUGCUGACCCAACGACCCACUGGAGCUGGGACGGUAUUCACUUGACGGAGGCUGCUUAUGGUCAUAUCGCCAGGGGUUGGCUAUAUGGCCCUUUCGCAGACCAACCGAUUGUUCAGUCCUCGUGA